RNAcentral lists this long non-coding RNA (378 nucleotides) under Malus domestica (apple). RNAcentral describes it as "long non-coding RNA (MDOM_LNC021086)". The record is from RNAcentral. Lineage: Eukaryota; Viridiplantae; Streptophyta; Magnoliopsida; Rosales; Rosaceae.
AGGCAUGUUACUACAUUCAAAACAUUGUUUUAAUUGGUUAAUUGUGAAUUAGUAAGUAGUGACUAUGAUUAAGUAUGUGCUUAAGUGUUAAAUUGACUCAAUUCUGUGGGAAUGAUAAUCUUUAACAUGUCAUGUGCAUUGGAAAUCCCUAAGGCAAACGUUGGAAGGUUUAGGUUGUUUUUGUUUGUUUGGUUUCGUUUUGUUUUUCUUUUGUUUCUUUGUUUUGCUCGAGGACUAGCAAAAGCUAAGUGUGGGGGAAUUUGAUAGGAGCAUUUUUAUGCGACUUAAUUGGCUUGUUCUCAUGCAUUUAUGUUGUUUUUCCUUAGUUAGUUUAGUGUUUAAAGUCAUUUUCGUGCAAUUUCAGGUUUUAUUGUCAAA